Molecule: ribosomal RNA, 150 nt
Filed under: uncultured Piscicoccus sp.
Lineage: Bacteria; Bacillati; Actinomycetota; Actinomycetes; Micrococcales; Dermatophilaceae
Description: partial 16S ribosomal RNA
Rfam family: Bacterial small subunit ribosomal RNA
Source: RNAcentral
CACGCCGAUGGCAUGGGCGAAGCCUGAUGCAGCCAUGCCAGCGUGAAGGAUGAAGGCCUUCGGGUUGUAAACCUCUUUUCUCAGGGAAGAAACUGACUGUUCCUGAAGAAGAGACCCCGGCUGACUUCUUGCCAUCAGCCGCCUCUGUGC